UUUUUUUUUAACAAAUAUUGGGGGUGUAUUAGGCAGUUAGUUUAUCUGGCUUGUUAAGUGCUAUUCUUUAGGUAUUUUCCUAUUAGUAUGCUAGUCUAUGUGUAUAAAUACCGUGUAUCUUCUUUAGUGAAUAAUACAUACAAUACACAGAGAUUUACUUCA
This is a long non-coding RNA of Ipomoea nil (Japanese morning glory), 162 nucleotides long. RefSeq lists it as uncharacterized. Lineage: Eukaryota; Viridiplantae; Streptophyta; Magnoliopsida; Solanales; Convolvulaceae. The record is from RefSeq and is a predicted model, not a curated record. The transcript has 3 exons.